This 563-nucleotide ribosomal RNA is filed under the name Helicotylenchus digonicus. RNAcentral describes it as "partial large subunit ribosomal RNA". It matches the Rfam family "Eukaryotic large subunit ribosomal RNA", at positions 420 to 813 of the family's 3401-position model. The record is from RNAcentral. Lineage: Eukaryota; Metazoa; Nematoda; Chromadorea; Rhabditida; Hoplolaimidae.
CGGACAGAGCUGGCGUAUCUGGCCUGCAUUCAGCCGCGACCCGCUGGCGUCAGGGAUGCCGCUCUCCAGAUUGGGACGGUGGUCUGACUGCUCGGUGGGUUUCGUGGUGCAUUUGCAGGUGGAGUGCGCCGAGGCGCUCGGUGCAGCGGCAUGAGCUUGGCUUUGAGGCCAGCCUCGCAAGAGGUCUGGUACCCGGGCCAGGGGAGUGCUGUUUGCGCUGGGCGCAGCAAAGGGCAAUGGUCUCGGGCUCGUGUGGGUGCCGAGCUGGCGGUCGGCGUCGGUCGCGUGCGACACGUGCCAUCAGUCAGUUCGGUCCUGCUCGAGCUCACAUCUGCUCGACCUCGGUGUAAAAGCCGGUCAUCUGUCCGACCCGUCUUGAAACACGGACCAAGGAGUUUAGCGUGUGCGCGAGUCAUUGGGCGUUGAAAACCCAAAGGCGUAAUGAAAGUGAAUGCCUCCCUUGCGGAGCUGAUGUGUGAUCCUGGAUGCCUCGGCAUACUGGGCGCAACAUAGUCCCGUCCCGAUUGCUUGCAAUGGGGCGGAGACAGAGCGUACGCGCUGAG